RNAcentral lists this ribosomal RNA (502 nucleotides) under uncultured soil bacterium. Its description in RNAcentral is "bacterial SSU rRNA". It matches the Rfam family "Bacterial small subunit ribosomal RNA", at positions 26 to 530 of the family's 1533-position model. The record is from RNAcentral.
AGAAUGAACGCUGGCGGCGUGCUUUACACAUGCAAGUCGAGCGAGGCGGGUAGCAAUACCCAGUCGAGCGGCGAACGGGUGAGUAACGCGUGGAUUAUCUACCCUGAGGUGGGGGAUAACCCGGGGAGACUCGGGCUAAUACCGCAUGACAUCGAGAGAUCAAAGGGGGCCGCAAGGCUCUCGCCAUGGGAGGAGUCCGCGUACGAUUAGCUAGUUGGUAGGGUAAUGGCCUACCAAGGCGACGAUCGUUAGCCGGCCUGAGAGGGUGAUCGGCCACACUGGAACUGAGACACGGUCCAGACUCCUACGGGAGGCAGCAGUGGGAAUUUGCGCAAUGGGCGAAAGGCCUGACGCAGCAACGCCGCGUGGAGGAUGAAGUCCUUGGAUUGAAACUCCUGUCAGCAAGGAAAAACGGGACCGGCCGCAUACGCCGGUUCAUUGAUUGUACUGCAGAGAACGCCCGGCUAACGUCUAGUGCCAGACACGCCGCGGUAAGUCUAGA